Molecule: long non-coding RNA, 808 nt
Filed under: Phasianus colchicus (ring-necked pheasant)
Lineage: Eukaryota; Metazoa; Chordata; Aves; Galliformes; Phasianidae
Description: lncRNA (ENSPCLG00000014036.1)
Source: RNAcentral
UUUUUAGGGACUUGAACAGACAUAAAUCCGAUUAUGGGUCAAAAAAAAAAAAAAAAAAAAAAAAAAAAGGCUGUGGAAUAAACAUUUCUCUUUAUUCUCCUCUUACAAGUGGUUUUCUUAUUCUAUUAAACACUAAUGCAGAUCAAAAUCUAGUGUUGCAAUGGAUUUAAAUGGGGAAGCAUUACUAUAUGCUUCCAUAAAAUGAGUUGUCUUCAAAAGAUAUUACUGAGUAGAAAUUGAUAAACAGACUUUUUUUUUUUUUUUUUUUUUUUUUUAAUAAGAAUUUAAUCCUUCUUUUGGGAAGACUGAAUAACAUAGGGUGGUUCUGUACAGCUGCUGUCACAAAGCAAAGAACAAAACACGUCAGACUACAGAUUGCUGUUGCUCUGCUCACGACAGCAGUAGAUAAAAUGAUGGCUGGGCACAGACAUUACAAUUUAGCAACAUGAACUGCUUCUUCUCUGAUGGAGGAUCAGGCUGUUCUGGCAGAAGGCUGUGAACUCUUCUGUGACACCAAACUUGUCCAUGUUCCCACAUUCCUGUGGGGAGGAAGAGGACCCAGCUCCAGUCCUGUCCUGCUCCUGCCCCCAGGCUUUGCAAAGCAUGUGCAAAGCCUCUGAACUGUCAGUUCUCCUACACCUUCCAGCUGGUUGAGAACAGCAGAGGAGAAGCCCAGAGAGCCUUGCACAAGAUUACGUAAGAGGGUCAGCCUGUAUCUUCUAAUCCAUCACCUAUACCCUAAUUAUGUUCCCCUGCAAAAGUUUUCUAAAGAACCAAAUAUUUGCUUUCUUGCCAUUUUCAGGUAAUU